CCUACGGGAGGCUGCAGUGGGGAAUAUUGGACAAUGGGGGCAACCCUGAUCCAGCCAUGCCGCGUGUGUGAAGAAGGCCCUCGGGUUGUAAAGCACUUUCAGUGAGGAAGAACGCCUGGUGGUUAAUACCCAUCAGGAAAGACAUCACUCACAGAAGAAGCACCGGCUAACUCCGUGCCAGCAGCCGCGGUAAUACGGAGGGUGCGAGCGUUAAUCGGAAUUACUGGGCGUAAAGCGCGCGUAGGUGGCUUGAUAAGCCGGUUGUGAAAGCCCCGGGCUCAACCUGGGAACGGCAUCCGGAACUGUCAAGCUAGAGUGCAGGAGAGGAAGGUAGAAUUCCCGGGGUAGCGGUGAAAUGCGUAGAGAUCGGGAGGAAUACCAGUGGCGAAGGCGGCCUUCUGGACUGACACUGACACUGAGGUGCGAAAGCGUGGGUAGCAAACAGGAUUAGAUACCCCUGUAGUC
RNAcentral lists this ribosomal RNA (465 nucleotides) under Vreelandella stevensii. RNAcentral describes it as "partial 16S ribosomal RNA". It matches the Rfam family "Bacterial small subunit ribosomal RNA", at positions 338 to 795 of the family's 1533-position model. Lineage: Bacteria; Pseudomonadati; Pseudomonadota; Gammaproteobacteria; Oceanospirillales; Halomonadaceae. The record is from RNAcentral.